GUUAAGUCAAUGAUGGGGAAAACAGUGGACACUUCCGUAUAAGAGAGUUGAUGGAUGGUGCAAAUCAACCGAAGUACACUUGAUAUUCCACCCUUGAGACGUUGGCGAUGAGCCAAACCGCCGCAACGGUUAUUGCAAUGAGUGAGUUAGGUUUUCUAACUAAUCUAGGUGGCACCACGGGUAUAAUCUCUCGUCCUUAAU
Molecule: non-coding RNA, 201 nt
Filed under: Acetivibrio clariflavus
Lineage: Bacteria; Bacillati; Bacillota; Clostridia; Acetivibrionales; Acetivibrionaceae
Description: Clostridium clariflavum T-box sequence
Rfam family: T-box leader
About the family: Uncharged tRNA acts as the effector for transcription antitermination of genes in the T-box leader family. T-boxes are found upstream of many aminoacyl-tRNA synthetase genes and some amino acid biosynthetic genes usually in Gram-positive bacteria. The anticodon of a specific tRNA base pairs to a specifier sequence within the T-box motif, and the NCCA acceptor tail of the tRNA base pairs to a conserved bulge in the T-box antiterminator hairpin.
Source: RNAcentral